This 5790-nucleotide long non-coding RNA is filed under the name Mus musculus (house mouse). RNAcentral's name for it is "long non-coding RNA chr16:40979285-40985075". The record is from RNAcentral. Lineage: Eukaryota; Metazoa; Chordata; Mammalia; Rodentia; Muridae.
CAGGUUUCACAAAAUAUUUAAGGCUGUGAUAUAAGGAAAAUGGAUGAAGAAUUUGAUGUGCGAAACGAAACCUCAAUGCAUAUGUAACAUUUCAGGAAUGUCUGUUAUAUUACACAUAAUUGCUUUACUUUGAUUAAGUUUGUAAAAACAAAUUUACCAUGAAAAUAUGGUUAAUGGUUUAUUUUUUUAAUCUGUUGUUUCUUUUUUCUUUCAGGUAAGUGUAUAGAGAUCUGAAGUGUUCUGCAGAAAUUGCACAGGUGGCAAUUCUCAUAGAAGAAAGAGGAAGGCAGGGACCCUUGAAAUGGUAAUAUCUCAGCUCUUGCACACACACACAGGAGCCUCUCAGGUGCUUGGCAAAGCUGCCGUUUUCUUUUAUAUGGUUAUAUCUGCUUAUUUCAUUAUAACUUGUUAUGCCUUAAACCCAAGGCUGUGAGAGUUCUGUUUUCUUGUAUGUGCGUUUGAGAGCCACUUACAAACUAAUGGAAAGCUUCUGCAGUCCGUCCUUGUCAGGUAGCUCGUUCUGUGUGGAUUAUUUACAAGUAAAAUGUCAUUCUCAAUGAAUUGUACAAUGACACACACACAUAUACAUAAUUUUAAUGCUAUAAGAAAUGCAUGCCUAUGUACAACAUGUGUGUGUGUGUAUAUAGAUAUAUAUCUUUUCUCAUGUAUAUACAACUCCCAUUUGUAGUAUAAAGUCUGCAAAAUUUCAUAUCAAGUCAGUAACAAAGAAAGAUGAUGAAACUUAAUAUUAUGUGAAUCAUUAUGAAGUUGGAAUAUUGCACCAAGUCUUAGAAGCAUAUUUUUCUAGAGGUACUAAUAUUCAUGUUCAAAUACCAAACUUAUACCUCUAAAUUAUCUCUCCCUUUUCUUUACAAAAUAAAAUAAUUUUUGGAUAAACUGCUAAUAUUUGUGUAUUCUCUCACACCCCAAUUUUCAUUAGGAAUAAGUUUUAUUUUGUCUGAAAUAAAGCAGUUUUAUUUUGUCUGAAAUAAAGCACUUAAUUGCUGAACUAAGUAAGGAUAUCUGAUUUCAAAUGAAACUUUGAAACAUGAAUAUGUGUGUGCAUGGGCUUGCAUGUGCAUGAUUUUCAGGAUGCCCCUAUAGUGGAUUGUUGUUCCUAAAAGACAAGAUGAUCUCCUGGGACUUGAGAUUCAUGGAUGAGGCCAGCAUUCACUGGGCACUAAUAUGUUUUGACAUUCUGAAUGUUGAGAUAAUAAGCACAUACCAUCAUACCCAGCGUCUUACAUAUGUUUUAGUAUUUGAUCUCAGAUCUUCAUGUUUCUAUGAGAAGCAUUUACUGACUAACCUAUUUCUCCAACCCUGAAAUGUGUCUUAUGAUUUCCCAAUGUGUUAGAAAUGUAGUAUUCAGCUGGGCGGUGGUGGUGCACGCCUUUAAUCCCAGCACUUGGGAGGCAGAGGCAGGCAGAUUUCUGAGUUAGAGGCCAGCCAGCCUGGUCUACAGAGUGAGUUCCAGGACAGUCAGAGGCCAGAGCUACACAGAGAAACCCUGUCUUGAAAACCAAAAAAAAAAAAAAAAAAAAAAAAAAAAAAAAAAAAAAAUGUAGUUUUCAGGAAUCUUUAAUAUUCUAUGAUAUGACCAAGUUGUUACAUCCUAGAUAUAAGACAAAUAUUGCAAUGAGAUGUAUUUAAUCCACUAUCAAAAUGGAAUUACUGGGAGCUGGUAUAAAACAAAGAAAAUUUGAAGUUAAUUAUAAAAGAAUGUUGUUCUUAUGUUUCAGAAUAUUGAGAGGAGGUAAAAUACACCAGUUAUUGUGCAAGAAUAGAGUCAAACAUGUUAAAUGCAUUUCUAGCUUUUAAUCACAAGAAAUAUGUUCAAAAUGUGAAAAUCUAAACCAUGAUUCAAAAUUGAGAAACUAAAAGUACUUAUUUUAUAUUUUCUUUUAUUUUCUUACCUUUUUGUUUCUAAGAGUGCCAGGUUUUAUUUACAGUAACAUAUUUUAUUUAAUGAGAAAUAUAAAAUAUAAGUAAGAAGAAAAGAUUUAAAAUAUUAGAAAAUUGUUGCGUCAUUUGGCUAUUACCAUUUGAACAAGUACAUCUCUCAACUACAGAGCAUUAAUUUCUUUGAAUUGUGCACAAUAAAAUAGAAUGUAGAAUUUUGUUAAUGCAUGCAAAAUCAAUACUAGAACCAUAGUUACAGAAAGAGUUCCUUCCCUAGUAUGGUAGGAACAAAGAACAGGUAUAAUAUUCUGCCAUGUGACUCUUGAUGCACUUGGCUCGCUGGUGUUUUGGAAAUGUCUGAUGACUUAAGCGUAGAUGAGCAGUUGGGAGCAGAAGGCAUAAAUCUUUGGGAUGCUUCAUCUUCAUGAUUGAUCCUACUCCAUGAACACAUAGAUGGCACUGCCAAUUGAAGAAAUGAAGGAAGAGUCAUAGGAAAAAUAAGUGCACACAGAAGAAAGUGGAUAUUGAACUCCAUAAGUUUCUGCUUGGUCUCAGAUACAAAUUUCUUUUGAUUUCCUGACCCCUACUUAAAAUUCACAGAUGCUCCGCCUCCUAUACGUUAAAAAAAAAAAAAGUCCUCUCCACAACUGCAUAGUGAACCAUGGAAAUUAUAUUAUAUUAACUUUUUAAUGUUUAAAAAAUUAUCAAUUUUGCUCUCUUUUUUUCCAAAGGACAAUAGUACAAAAGCAUUAUGCCCAACCAUCUUGCCCCUUUGCAUGUAUGAUUAGAAGCUAGGCUUGUCAAUACUAGAGCAUUGGCUGAUUUAAGGAAUUGCAGCUCUGAAAAGGAUGAUCUGUUAUAUAACUCAAUCGAUGAAUUCGAUUUAAAAAGUUUGUUCAAGUACCUGAAUAAACCUAUGGUUGAUGGGCAGAAUGAUAAAUUAGAAUACAGAUCUUUCCCAAGGACUUUGCUGCUUAGGAGUCUAUACUAGCUUCUUUUGCUUAAUCGUGCAGCAGUUCUACCUUUGGUCUCUUCCUGGAUAACCACAGCUUCUUUUAGUCACAUAAAUAAUCUCCGUAUUUAUUGAGACAAGAAAUAAGGGUCACUUUUUUUAGCAUAAGAUUUCCUUUAAAGGUCAAAUGGAACUGGCCUUGAUUCAAGUGGGUCCAUAAGACUCAUGUGUAACCAAAAUAGUGGUAAAGAGUGUUUUGGCUUCUCCAUUAGCUUGGAAAAUUACAACGUGACAAUUACAGUGCUUGUUUGCUGAGGUCUGAUAAUCAUGUCACGACAUUUUUAUGCUUCAUUCACUGUUAUGAUUUGGACAGCUUCGUGCCAAAGACUGGUUUACACAGAUUAAUACUGUGUCACAGUAUUAUGAAAACAAGGUAGGCUAACAGGAUCAUAUGCAGGGUUUAGAAGCAUGCAGCUGUGUAUUAUUAGCAUGACAUCUGUGAUAAAAACAAAGAGUAUAACAUAAGAAUACCAAGCCAAAGAAGUUCACAAUGUUGGCUGCCAGUUGAGGUAAGAAUAUUUAGACUUACUUAGGGUUCAAAACGUUCACCUGUGGUGGUAGGUAGCAACAAACGAACAAGAUUUAACCGAAUGCACAUUUUAGAGAACUACAAGAUCUUGCUUUACUUUUGGCAUCUCAAAUUCUUUACUUCUUGGUAUGCUCCCUCAUUUAUUCUGAGAGCGAUUGAGCCAAUAGACUUAUUUCAAGUGUGUUUUAUAUCAGAGAUGAAACUGCCAUUUUAACUCACUGCACAUGAUCAUAAUUUUAGAAUUAGUAAGAACACACCAUUCCAAGCCCACAAAUGCUAUUAUUUAAGAAUUUAAAAUGGCAUGAUGUGAACAUUUUCUAGCUUUCAAUGUAUGCUUCUGAAAACAAUUGUCUUUUUCUCAAAGUUGGAAAAAUGCUUUUCUAGAAAGGGAAGCAAAGACAAACCCAGCCUGACACCAUCCAGUCUGCAUGCAGCCUCCAGUUCAGCAGCAAUUUUUAAAGAAUGAAUUUUAAUGUGCACGGACCUAUUAGCACAGGAUCAGAUUUCUAACCAAUUGAUUGGACAUGCAAAAAGAGUCCGUGUCCUAGAUUUAAAGUCAUUACACAGUCUUAAACACAGCUGUGCAGCAAGCCUUUCAAACUUGAUGGAUUUGAACACAUUGAAUGGUGCUGAAGGUGAUUGGCUAGCGAAUUUCCUUCAAUGCAAUUAACAAUAAUAACAAAUUUAGUGAAACAACUACUGUGUUGUUCAGCAAGCAACUGGGCAUCCUGGUUUUCAUAGCUAUCAGGUGUGCACAUGAUAGAAAAUACACAGUUAUCUAGGUAGAUCUAUAGGCAUUGAUUGUUCUUUGAUUUAAAGAAGAUACAUCUAGUUUUAGGCUUUUUACCUCUCAAGGAUGAAGUUACUCCUUUCUAUUUAGAAUUUCCUUUAUUCCCUCCCAACCAUCCUUUAAUUUCAACUUUUUGCUGUCUCUAAUAAUUUAUUGUAAAUAUACUUCCAGAGAGUAUAUUAUAAAUAUUUGCCUUAAUUUUGAUUGUUACCAAUUCUUCAUCUUAGGAACAUGUAGACAUACAAGCAUGUCAUAUCUUUAAAAAUAUUACAAGUAUGAGCUACUCAGUGUGUGUUAUUGUUUCAUGUGGCCAAUGCAGCUGUCAGUGAGGAUAAGCGCUGUGUUCUUCAUUUUCUUCUCCUUCAGACUAAGAACAGAAAGAUGUGUUUAUGAAACCAACCACUAGCAAGGAAUGAAUACCACUGAAAGAACACUGCCAGGAAAGUGAUUGUUUUCCUCUACAAUUCAGGGCUAGUACCUAUGGUUUUCAGGGAAACUUGCAUUAUGGCAACCCAGUUUUGGUAUAUAGCUUCAUAUUUGUUCCAUGCAAGGCAUAAAUACAAAUAACUAUGUAGUCACAAAUUUCAAGUUGCAACUUCCCUUGCAAAGGUAAUCAAAUAAUCUAUAUAGACUCCCAGCUGUCUCAACAAAAAUUUGGAGAUGAAAACACAUAAGGUGGUGGUAUGUGUAUGAAGAUAAAAGUUUCCCUGACUAAGCCAAUGAGUAGGCAAACAGAGGAGAGCACAGAAAGAGUUGGUUUGCAGCUCAAUGUAAUUAUGUUCAGGGAUUAGGUAUCCUUGUCUUCUUGAUUAGGAGGAGACAGUCUUGAGCAAUAUAUUUAAUUGAUUACCUCAGGUUAAAGGCUAGUAGCAGGCAAUGUGAAAAAAAAAAAAACUGGACUUUCCACUCAAGAAAAAAUAAGAUAAUCAACCAAAGUUGAUUCUUUGAAGUCCUGCUAAAAAUUUAAGUCAAACACAGCUUACUAAAUUGUGAGAAGAAGUUUAGAGCUUUGGAGAAAUGCACCUGUAAAAUGAAGAUGCUUAUAUCAUUGCAAAGAUUUGUAGAUUCAUAUUACAUGCCAUUAGAAAUCUAUGAAUCUAUGAAACAGCCACUCUUUUUUUUUUUUUUUUUGAGAAGCCCACGUACUUCAGAGGAAUGUCUUUCUUUCCUUGAAUUCCUUUCCUUAAAAGUCAAUAAUAAUAAAACAUCUUAAUAAAGUAAAUAUUUCAGAAAAAAUUACAUAAAAUACGGUGAGUUAUACACUUGGAUAUUCCUAGUAUUUCUGAGGCAGGAUCUUUCUAUGUGGCCCUAGCGGUGCUGGAACUCACUAUGCAAAUUUGGCUGGUUUCAAAUUUAGAGUGAUCUGCCUACCUCUGUCUUCCAAGAGCUGGGAUUAAAGGCAGUCACCGGUUAGUUCAUAAUGUUGUUCCAGCUAUAGGGUUGCAGACCCCUUCAGCUCCUUGGGUACUUUCUCUAGUUCCUCCAUUGGGGCCCUGUGUUCCAUCCUAUGGAUGACUAUAGGUGGAACAACAAUAUGAGCUAACCAGUACCCCACAGAGC